RNAcentral lists this ribosomal RNA (467 nucleotides) under uncultured bacterium. RNAcentral describes it as "SSU rRNA". It matches the Rfam family "Bacterial small subunit ribosomal RNA", at positions 26 to 518 of the family's 1533-position model. The record is from RNAcentral.
AGGACGAACGCUGGCGGCGUGCUUAACACAUGCAAGUCGAGCGGAAAGGCCCUUCGGGGUACUCGAGCGGCGAACGGGUGAGUAACACGUGAGUAAUCUGCCCCUAGCUCUGGGAUAGCUCCGGGAAAACCGGGAUUAAUACCAGAUACGACCACUUUAGACAUCUGUUGUGGUGGAAAGAAUUUUGGCUAGGGAUGAGCUCGCGGCCUAUCAGCUUGUUGGUGAGGUAACGGCUCACCAAGGCGACGACGGGUAGCCGGCCUGAGAGGGCGACCGGCCACACUGGGACUGAGACACGGCCCAGACUCCUACGGGAGGCAGCAGUGGGGAAUAUUGCGCAAUGGGCGAAAGCCUGACGCAGCGACGCGCGUGGGGAUGAAGGCCUUCGGUUGUAAACCCUUCAGCAGGACGAAGCGAAGUGACGGUACCUGCAGAGAAGCGCCGGCUAACUACGCGCCAGCAGCCGC